This 3037-nucleotide ribosomal RNA is filed under the name Betula nana (alpine birch). RNAcentral's name for it is "bacterial LSU rRNA". It matches the Rfam family "Bacterial large subunit ribosomal RNA", at positions 1 to 2520 of the family's 2925-position model. Lineage: Eukaryota; Viridiplantae; Streptophyta; Magnoliopsida; Fagales; Betulaceae. The record is from RNAcentral.
CUUGGUCCUUUGUAACAUAAUGGGUGUGAUUCCCGACUAAGAAUCGUAUAAGGUAUUACACACAAAACAAAUGCAUUACCUCGCCAACAAAGUAGAGGUUUUUCAAUCAUAAGUAGAUAUCUGUUUUUUAUACAGAUAAUGGCGUUCACUAUUAGGAGAUAAAAAGUAAACAAACCGUUAUAAUUAAUUAAUUAAUAAUUUACAUUAGUAAUGUAUUAGAUAUGUAAAGUAUUAUUUCAUCAGCAUAAUGAUGGUAAGUAUAUAAAGAAACUAUUACGGAUAAAUAAGCUAUAUAUUAAAGACGAAUUAAAUAAAGUGUUCUUGGAAAAAUCCAUUUUUUAAACGAAGCGAAUUGAAAUAUCUUAGUAGCUUCAGGAAUAAAAAUCAAAUGAGAUUCCAUAAUUAGCUAUAACUGUUAUGGAAAAGCCUUUAAAGUAAAACGGAAAUAAUCUGUUUGAAUUUAGGGAAACCUUUCUCUAAGGCUAAAUAUAAUAUAUAAGCGAUAGCGAAGCAGUACCGUGAGGGAAAUUUUUGAAAUAGUAGUUUUAUAAGCAGCUCAAGUUUAAUUUAAAAGUAUAAUGAGAGCGUACCUUUUGCAUAAUGGGUCAGCAAGUUAAUGUUAGAUGCGAGAUAAGGUUCAGAAAAAAUUAAGGAGUAAAGCUUAAUUUAUUUUUAGUGUAAUGCUAAAAGUAGAUUAAAAAUGAAACCGAAAUGAAUAAGGUAAUUCCUUGUCCUAGAUAAACCAAUUAUUAAUCAAUGAUUAAGUAUCUAAUGUUAGACCCGAAGCCUAGUGAUCUUACCAUGAUCAGGGUUAUAAAGGCCCGAACGGGUUAUCGUUGUAAAGAUAUCCGAUGAAUUGUGGUAAGUUAGUGAAAGACAAAACUGACUAGGAUAGCUGGUUUUCUGCGAAACCUAUAUAAGUAGGUAAUGUAAAUAACAUCAUAGCAGGUACAGAACUGUGAUCUCGGACAAAUUAUGUUGUUUUCUUAUGGAUAGCAAUAUGAUUUUGUAUACAUCGGGGAAUCGUGAAGAUUUUAUCGGCGAGAAUUUGCUCUCGGAAGGGCAAUGAUGGAUUUUGCAUAAUCGGACAUAGUACGAUAAGGUUGUAUGUCUAAAGGGAAACAGCCCAGAACAAGAGUUAAAGGUUCCAAAAUUAUUGUUAAGUGAAAAUAAGGAAGUUUUCUUCAAAUACAACCAGGAAAUAGGCUUAGAAGCGGCCAUUUUUUGAAGACCUCGUAACAGAGCACUGGUUUAACAUUAAAAGUUGAAAGCACCGAAAAUUUAACGGAUCUAAAACAAUAUACCGAAACCUUGUCUAUAAAUAAAUAUAUUUUUAACGCAAAACUUUUUUUUCUUAAGUAUUUUUAUUUAUGGGGUAGCAGAACGUUGGGCAUGUCUUAGACUUAGUAUUUUUAAUAUUAAGUAGGUUCGACGGCGUAUUUAUUAUUUUAAACAAGUAGGUUAAACGCUUAUUUGUUUGAGGUAAUUAAAAAACCCGUUGGAUAAGAUGACCCCAAGUGAGAAUGCUGGCAUGAGUAACGAAAAAGGGAUAGCCCCUCGCCUUAAGCUUAUGGUAUUUAAAUAAAGUAACGGCCUCUAAGUUUAUAAUUGUCCUAAAGGAUUAAACGAUGAGAAAAUCUUUAGAUAUGUCUAACAACAUUGUGAUAUUUUGAGUACAUAAUGUUCUGGAAAAAGACAUAUUAAUAUUUAUAACCAGACUGAAUGUUUUGGUCCCUUCGUGGGAAUAACAUAUAAAUAUUUACAACCGUACCUAGAUACUACCACAAGUAAGCAAGUAGAGUAUACAAAGGCGUUUGAGUUAACAAUCAUUAAGGAACUCGGCAAAAUGACACCGUAACUUAGGGAUAAGGUGUGCCAUUCUUUUUAAGUAAUAUUAAGUUAAGAAUAGGAGGCAUAGAGUGGUGUUGUACGACUGUUUAAUUAAAACAAAGCACUUUGCAUAAGAUGACAAAUCAAAGUAUUGAGUGUGAAUUCUGCCCGAUGUUGGCUGGUUAACGGAUUUUCUUAGCCGACUAAAAUAAGCUAGGUUUUGAAGGAAACCCCAAUCAAUGGCGGCCUUAACGAUAAGGGUCCUAAGGUAGCGGAAUACCUUGGCCGUUAAAUGCGGUCUUGCAUGAAUGAUUUAACGAUACAACAGCUGUCUCAAUGAUUGGCUCAGUGAAAUUGGAAUAACUGUGCAGAUACAGUUUACCUCUAGUUAGACGAGAAGACCCUAUGCAGCUUUACUGUUUGUAGUUAUUGGAUACAAUGGAACAAGUUGUAGCGUAUAAGGUAGUUGAUAAGAUACAAUUGAAACACCUUUACUUAGUUUAUCAUAUCAGUAGAAUACCGCGAAAGCUAUACAAACUACUUCGACCAAGUAAAAUUGGUCGAUGGAAGAGUAAAGUAAGUAGGUAAAAUCUACAUUACUUAUAAACUUUUGUGAUGCGAUAUAUUUGGAAACAUUUGCUAUUAGACAGUUUAUGCGGGGCACAGAUCCCACAAAAAGUACCUGGGUGUAUCCAAAGUUAAUUUUGUAAAUUUAUUGGCAAUAACAAUUUGCCAACAGAUAAAUGCAUUAUAUAGCAAAAGCUUUUGCUCUUGCCUGUAUAAUGUAUUUUUAUUUUAAUCUGUAAUGUAUUGCUUUCAAUAUAUUCAGUUAUUUAUCUAUUAAGUUAGAUUUAUUUAUUUUUUUUAAGUAAGAUUUUAACUAUAUGGAGAAUAGAUGUAAAUAAAACGCUAACAAUCUUUAGCGCUAUGCGAUAAAAAGAAUUAGUAGUGUUUUAGUUUAUUUUCUUAAUAUGCUUUAGAUAUUAAGGAAAUGAUUAUUAUUUUUACUUUAAAAGUUUAAUGGCUUAAUCUUGCUUUACUGUUUGACUUACACGUCUAUCAGUUGCGUAAGCAGGGCAUAUGAUCACAUAAGGCUAAAUAUAAUAUAUAAGCGAUGCAUAAAGGAAAGGUCUUGGAUUUUUGAAAAAGCUACGCUAGGGAUAACAGGCUAAUUGCGCCAGAGAGUACAAAUUGAGUGCGCAGUUUG